Molecule: transfer RNA, 307 nt
Filed under: Anaerococcus prevotii
Lineage: Bacteria; Bacillati; Bacillota; Tissierellia; Tissierellales; Peptoniphilaceae
Description: partial 16S-23S ribosomal RNA intergenic spacer
Rfam family: tRNA (bases 151-223)
Source: RNAcentral
UCGGAAGGUGCGGCUGGAUCACCUCCUUUCUAAGGAUGAGAAGCUGAUACGUCAGCUUCUCACACAAGGAAAAGAAAAGGUCGUUGAUAUUAAAAAUUAAGGAGUAAAAACAUAACAACUAAACAAAAAUUGACUAUUGCAUAUAUACAUGGGGAUAUAGCUCAGCUGGGAGAGCACCUGCCUUGCACGCAGGGGGUCAAGAGUUCGAAUCUCUUUAUCUCCACUACAAACAAACCCAUUCCAAUGAGUUUGUUAAAACGAACCAACAAAACUAAAUAGCAAAAAAUAUUUCCAGUCAAGAAAGAAA